UCUUCAGUUGCAAAGGGGUAGAGCAUUCCGUUUUACGGAAGGGUCCUGGGUUCGAGCCCCAGCUGAAUCA
RNAcentral lists this transfer RNA (70 nucleotides) under Bacteroidales bacterium. RNAcentral's name for it is "tRNA-Lys". Lineage: Bacteria; Pseudomonadati; Bacteroidota; Bacteroidia; Bacteroidales. The record is from RNAcentral.